CAGCCCGGCCGCAGUGAGAAGAGCAGCACGCUCGCCCUGCCACCACCAUGUGGGGCUUUCAGCGGGGCUCCCGGCUGCUGGCCACCGUGCUGCGGACCCCGCGGGUCCCCCAGGCACAAAUCGCCUCCAAGCCACCCGAACACCCGCUCUCUGCUGCUGAGCAAGUCAUCGCGUUUUCCGUGAUGUCUGCAUGCUUCCUGUUGCCAACAGCCUGGAUCCUGGCACACGUGGAGCACUACAAGAGCGGAUCAGGUUAAGAAGGAGCAAGAACCACCUGCACCCCGUUGAGAAGCAUGAGUGAAGACCACAGAACAGAUCUUCACCAGGAAGGAACCCUCUGAGUUUGUUCAUUAAAAUUCACAUUAGCAUUCA
Gavia stellata (red-throated loon) is the source of this 372-nucleotide long non-coding RNA. RefSeq lists it as uncharacterized. The record is from RefSeq and is a predicted model, not a curated record. The transcript has 2 exons. NCBI's taxonomy places the organism in Eukaryota, Metazoa, Chordata, Aves, Gaviiformes, Gaviidae.